AGCAGCCGCGGUAAUUCCAGCUCCAAUAGCGUAUAUUAAAGUUGCUGCAGUUAAAAAGCUCGUAGUUGAAUUUCGGGACCAUCAUGUCGGUCGUGCCUCGGUACGUACUGGCAUUGUUGGUUUCUCCCUUCUGACGAACCAUGAUGUCAUUUAUUUGGUGUUGUGGGAAAUCAGGACUGUUACUUUGAAAAAAUUAGAGUGUUUAAAGCAGGCUCACGCUUGAAUACAUUAGCAUGGAAUAAUGAAAUAGGACGUUUGAUUCUAUUUUGUUGGUUUCUAGGAUCGACGUAAUGAUUAAUAGGGAUAGUUGGGGGCAUUAGUAUUCAAUUGUCAGAGGUGAAAUUCUUGGAUUUAUUGAAGACUAACUACUGCGAAAGCAUUUGCCAAGGAUGUUUUCAUUAAUCAAGAACGAAAGUUAGGGGAUCGAAGACGAUCAGAUACCGUCGUAGUCUUAACCAUAAACUAUGCCGACUAGGGAUCGGAUGAUGUUAAUUUUUAAUGA
RNAcentral lists this ribosomal RNA (502 nucleotides) under uncultured Glomus. RNAcentral's name for it is "SSU rRNA". It matches the Rfam family "Eukaryotic small subunit ribosomal RNA", at positions 569 to 1074 of the family's 1831-position model. Lineage: Eukaryota; Fungi; Glomeromycota; Glomeromycetes; Glomerales; Glomeraceae. The record is from RNAcentral.